Cyprinus carpio (common carp) is the source of this 563-nucleotide long non-coding RNA. RefSeq lists it as uncharacterized. NCBI's taxonomy places the organism in Eukaryota, Metazoa, Chordata, Actinopteri, Cypriniformes, Cyprinidae. The record is from RefSeq and is a predicted model, not a curated record. The transcript is spliced from 3 exons.
AUAUUCAAGGUUUAUACUCAACAUUUUACUAGUGUAUAAGCUGUGUACAGCACUCUUUCAAUGUAGUCUGCGACAUGUUACUGUAAAUUUAAAUACAGUAAUAUGAAAUGACCGCGAAAAACAACCACUAACUGCCAUUUUGUGAAGAACUCUUUCAGUUCUCUGAGCGCCUUCGCCUCGCGACGCUGUCUGUAAAGUUCGCCGUAAAUAUCUUGUUUCUUGUCAGGAUAAAUCCUGAAAAUUCGAAAUGCAGUUCUGAGUUCCAGGUGAGCAGAAAGAGCGGGAGGAUUGUUAGGAGGAAAACCACAAGUUUCAUCUUUCAUUCGGGAGUUUGCACAAUAUGACUGGCAGAAUCAUUCAGGAUUAUCAGAAGUGCGACUUUUUCCACAUGACACCAGCCCUUCUCACCUGGCCUUCAUCCUCACCUUCUUUCUUUGUUUGACUUCUUUCUUUGUUCUACUGUGUGUAAGUUUGUAUUUUAACUAUUAAUCUUUCCAUGAAUUGUUCACUGAUUUUAAUUAUUAAUUAUAAAUUAAUUAAUCGUGUUUAAAAACAGAUUUUUA